This 1343-nucleotide ribosomal RNA is filed under the name uncultured bacterium. RNAcentral describes it as "16S ribosomal RNA". It matches the Rfam family "Bacterial small subunit ribosomal RNA", at positions 28 to 1378 of the family's 1533-position model. The record is from RNAcentral.
GACGAACGCUUUCGGCGUGCUUAACACAUGCAAGUCGAACGGAAAGGCCCUGCUUUUGUGGGGUGCUCGAGUGGCGAACGGGUGAGUAACACGUGAGUAACCUGCCCUUGACUUUGGGAUAACUUCAGGAAACUGGGGCUAAUACCGGAUAGGAGCUCCUGCUGCAUGGUGGGGGUUGGAAAGUUUCGGCGGUUGGGGAUGGACUCGCGGCUUAUCAGCUUGUUGGUGGGGUAGUGGCUUACCAAGGCUUUGACGGGUAGCCGGCCUGAGAGGGUGACCGGCCACAUUGGGACUGAGAUACGGCCCAGACUCCUACGGGAGGCAGCAGUGGGGAAUAUUGCACAAUGGGCGGAAGCCUGAUGCAGCAACGCCGCGUGCGGGAUGACGGCCUUCGGGUUGUAAACCGCCUUCGCCUGUGACGAAGCGUGAGUGACGGUAAUGGGUAAAGAAGCACCGGCUAACUACGUGCCAGCAGCCGCGGUGAUACGUAGGGUGCGAGCGUUGUCCGGAUUUAUUGGGCGUAAAGGGCUCGUAGGUGGUUGAUCGCGUCGGAAGUGUAAUCUUGGGACUUAACCCUGAGCGUGCUUUCGAUACGGGUUGACUUGAGGAAGGUAGGGGAGAAUGGAAUUCCUGGUGGAGCGGUGGAAUGCGCAGAUAUCAGGAGGAACACCAGUGGCGAAGGCGGUUCUCUGGGCCUUUCCUGACGCUGAGGAGCGAAAGCGUGGGGAGCGAACAGGCUUAGAUACCCUGGUAGUCCACGCUGUAAACGGUGGGUACUAGGUGUGGGGUCCAUUCCACGGGUUCCGUGCCGUAGCUAACGCUUUAAGUACCCCGCCUGGGGAGUACGGCCGCAAGGCUAAAACUCAAAGGAAUUGACGGGGCCCCGCACAAGCGGCGGAGCAUGCGGACUAAUUCGAUGCAACGCGUAGAACCUUACCUGGGUUUGACAUGGAUCGGGAGUGCUCAGAGAUGGGUGUGCCUCUUUUGGGGUCGGUUCACAGGUGGUGCAUGCCUGUCGUCAGCUCGUGUCGUGAGAUGUUGGGUUAAGUCCCGCAACGAGCGCAACCCUUGUUCACUGUUGCCAGCACGUUAUGGUGGGGACUCAGUGGAGACCGCCGGGGUCAACUCGGAGGAAGGUGGGGAUGACGUCAAGUCAUCAUGCCCCUUAUGUCCAGGGCUUCACGCAUGCUACAAUGGCUGGUACAGAGAGUGGCGAGCCUGUGAGGGUGAGCGAAUCUCGGAAAGCCGGUCUCAGUUCGGAUUGGGGUCUGCAACUCGACCUCAUGAAGUCGGAGUCGCUAGUAAUCGCAGAUCAGCAACGCUGCGGUGAAUACGUUCCCGGG